AGAAUAUCUAUACAAAAUUAAAGUUUAAAAGGCCUUUGCCUCUCGUGCAGCUGAGAAUAGACAACUUAUAAGCCUUAUCCAAAAACCAUGAUAAAGGGAUCAUGUGCAUCCUUACAAAAACCCCUUAUCCUGUGCAUACUUACAUCCAAGUACAUCCUAAGGAAGGUGUCCGUGCAUUCAUCUGCCACAGUGGGGAAGCUGCCUGGUGCAAGGUGUGAGUCCUGGAAUGAUUAGUGAUAGUGGUCUCAAAUGAGGACACCUUCGUCUCCCACCAGUUUCCUUCCUAUGGACAGGCUCAGUCCAGUUAUACAGGCCAGGAGGGGCUGGUGCCCACAGCCUCCCGCCUCUGCAAGGUAGGAUUGCAUAUCUCAAACAUCUCUAACUCAGUUUCGGCUUUGUUGGUCUUGUUUAAGGAAAUAAGCCAGUAAGCCAAAACUAUUUUUGUUGUUGUUCUCUUGUCUUCUGAAAGAGAGGGGAUAUCAAUUUUAAAUGUUUCUCUCAAUUUGAUCUUUCAAAUUUUUCUAAUAAAGUGCCAAAUUGC
Molecule: long non-coding RNA, 541 nt
Filed under: Mus musculus (house mouse)
Lineage: Eukaryota; Metazoa; Chordata; Mammalia; Rodentia; Muridae
Description: long non-coding RNA chr5:3525429-3525970
Source: RNAcentral